GCCACAUCACAUUAAAACACUGGUUCCCAUUCAAUCACCAAAGUUAAGCAACAUCGAGUGUGGUCAUUACCUAGAUGGGGGACUACUUGGGAAUAUCAGGUGCUGUAA
This is a non-coding RNA of Acanthosepion pharaonis, 108 nucleotides long. NCBI's taxonomy places the organism in Eukaryota, Metazoa, Mollusca, Cephalopoda, Sepiida, Sepiidae. The record is from the annotation of a GenBank genome assembly.